GCCCUGCAAAUAAAAAAAAAAACACAACAACACAUGGCCCAUGGGAAAUGAAUUCUGGAAUGCCUACGCACCAGCAGCACACGGAUCCAGUACCUUGGAUUUGGCUUGGGCUGCACCACACCUCGCACGUCCAACAUCUUCAGAAUCCACGGUGCAGCAGUGGAAGAUCCAUCCAGCCAGCAACUUGGAGAAAGUAGGAGGUGCAAGCAGCAACCCAACAUGAGGAACAUGCAACAGCCACUUGCAAAGAAGGAACUUCCACGUCGGCAGCAUCUGGGCCCAGAGGAGAGGCAUAGCAUAAACACAAAACCCUAGGAAUAUACCUAGGAACGGCGGUCACGGGGAG
RNAcentral lists this long non-coding RNA (346 nucleotides) under Vigna radiata. RNAcentral describes it as "long non-coding RNA (VRAD_LNC008074)". The record is from RNAcentral. Lineage: Eukaryota; Viridiplantae; Streptophyta; Magnoliopsida; Fabales; Fabaceae.